RNAcentral lists this ribosomal RNA (43 nucleotides) under Colletotrichum gloeosporioides. RNAcentral describes it as "partial 18S ribosomal RNA". Lineage: Eukaryota; Fungi; Ascomycota; Sordariomycetes; Glomerellales; Glomerellaceae. The record is from RNAcentral.
AGUCGUAACAAGGUUCUCCGUUGGUGACAGCGGAGGGAUCAUU